Molecule: ribosomal RNA, 492 nt
Filed under: uncultured bacterium
Lineage: Bacteria
Description: partial 16S ribosomal RNA
Rfam family: Bacterial small subunit ribosomal RNA
Source: RNAcentral
AGUGAACGCUGGCGGUAGGCCUAACACAUGCAAGUCGAACGGCAGCACCGUAAGAGCUUGCUCUUACGGGUGGCGAGUGGCGGACGGGUGAGGAAUACAUCGGAAUCUACUUUUUCGUGGGGGAUAACGUAGGGAAACUUACGCUAAUACCGCAUACGACCUACGGGUGAAAGCAGGGGAUCUUCGGGCCUUGCGCGAUUGAAUGAGCCGAUGUCGGCUUAGCUAGUUGGCGGGGUAAAGGCCCACCAAGGCGACGAUCCGUAGCUGGUCUGAGAGGAUGAUCAGCCACACUGGAACUGAGAAACGGUCCAGACUCCUACGGGAGGCAGCAGUGGGGAAUAUUGGACAAUGGGCGCAAGCCUGAUCCAGCCAUACCGCGUGGGUGAAGAAGGCCUUCGGGUUGUAAAGCCCUUUUGUUGGGAAAGAAAAGCAGCAGGUUAAUACCCCGCUGUUCUGACGGUACCCAAAGAAUAAGCACCGGCUAACUUCGUG